UAGGGAAUCUUCGGCAAUGGGGGGAACCCUGACCGAGCAACGCCGCGUGAGUGAAGAAGGUUUUCGGAUCGUAAAGCUCUGUUGUUAAGGAAGAACGAGUGUGAGAAUGGAAAGUUCAUACUGUGACGGUACUUAACCAGAAAGGGACGGCUAACUACGUGCCAACAGCCGCGGUAAUACGUAGGUCCCGAGCGUUGUCCGGAUUUAUUGGGCGUAAAGCGAGCGCAGGCGGUUAGAUAAGUCUGAAGUUAAAGGCAGUGGCUCAACCAUUGUAGGCUUUGGAAACUGUUUAACUUGAGUGCAGAAGGGGAGAGUGGAAUUCCAUGUGUAGCGGUGAAAUGCGUAGAUAUAUGGAGGAACACCGGUGGCGAAAGCGGCUCUCUGGUCUGUAACUGACGCUGAGGCUCGAAAGCGUGGGGAGCGAACAGG
Molecule: ribosomal RNA, 429 nt
Filed under: Bacteroidota bacterium
Lineage: Bacteria; Pseudomonadati; Bacteroidota
Description: Bacteroidetes bacterium partial 16S ribosomal RNA
Rfam family: Bacterial small subunit ribosomal RNA
Source: RNAcentral